RNAcentral lists this ribosomal RNA (245 nucleotides) under uncultured bacterium. RNAcentral's name for it is "partial 16S ribosomal RNA". It matches the Rfam family "Bacterial small subunit ribosomal RNA", at positions 524 to 768 of the family's 1533-position model. The record is from RNAcentral.
GACGAACCGUGCGAACGUUGUUCGGAAUCACUGGGCUUAAAGGGCGCGUAGGCGGGUGGUCAAGUCUGGGGUGAAAUCUUUCGGCUCAACCGGAAAAUUGCCUUGGAUACUGAUCAUCUUGAGCGAGGUAGGGGCAUGUGGAACUUCCGGUGGAGCGGUGAAAUGCGUUGAUAUCGGAAGGAACGCCGGUGGCGAAAGCGACGUGCUGGACCUCUUCUGACGCUGAGGCGCGAAAGCUAGGGGAG